This 497-nucleotide ribosomal RNA is filed under the name uncultured bacterium. RNAcentral's name for it is "partial 16S ribosomal RNA". It matches the Rfam family "Bacterial small subunit ribosomal RNA", at positions 28 to 507 of the family's 1533-position model. The record is from RNAcentral.
GAUGAACGCUGGCGGCGUGCCUAAUACAUGCAAGUCGAGCGAACGGACGAGAAGCUUGCUUCUCUGAUGUUAGCGGCGGACGGGUGAGUAACACGUGGAUAACCUACCUAUAAGACUGGGAUAACUUCGGGAAACCGGAGCUAAUACCGGAUAAUAUUUUGAACCGCAUGGUUCAAAAGUGAAAGACGGUCUUGCUGUCACUUAUAGAUGGAUCCGCGCUGCAUUAGCUAGUUGGUAAGGUAACGGCUUACCAAGGCAACGAUGCAUAGCCGACCUGAGAGGAUGAUAAGCCAAAGUGGAAAUGAGACACGGUGCAGACUCAGACGGGAGGCAGAAGUGGGGAAUAGUGGAGAAUGGGUGAAAUCCUGAUCAAUCUAUACCGCGUGGGUGAAGAAGGCCUUAGGGUUGUAAAGCCUUUUGGGUGGGAAAGAAAAGAAGCAGGGGAAUAACCCGCUGUUCGGAAGGUACACAAAGAAUAAGCAAAGGCGAACUUCGUG